RNAcentral lists this non-coding RNA (190 nucleotides) under Lederbergia galactosidilytica. RNAcentral describes it as "6S / SsrS RNA". It matches the Rfam family "6S / SsrS RNA". Rfam says of the family: E. coli 6S RNA was the first non coding RNA to be sequenced, but its function was unknown until recently. Lineage: Bacteria; Bacillati; Bacillota; Bacilli; Caryophanales; Bacillaceae. The record is from RNAcentral.
UAGGUCCUGGUGUGUUCGUUCUAAUACCUUAUCGUUUUGACCGACAAGUUAUAAUUACGGGAGUCUGUUUGUCUACAUUCCAAGUAUAAGCCUCCGGUUGAGUGGACAUAUAAGGUUUGUAGCAGGACACCCACCUGCCAAGAGCGGGUUCAAAACAAAGGCUUGAAAAGACGGCACAAUCGGGACUUAU